CCUGCGGAAGGAUCAUUAGUGAAUAUAGGACGUCCAACUUAACUUGGAGUCCGAACUCUCACUUUCUAACCCUGUGCACUUGUUUGGGAUAGUAACUCUCGCAAGAGAGCGAACUCCUAUUCACUUAUAAACACAAAGUCUAUGAAUGUAUUAAAUUUUAUAACAAAAUAAAACUUUCAACAACGGAUCUCUUGGCUCUCGCAUCGAUGAAGAACGCAGCGAAAUGCGAUAAGUAAUGUGAAUUGCAGAAUUCAGUGAAUCAUCGAAUCUUUGAACGCACCUUGCGCUCCAUGGUAUUCCGUGGAGCAUGCCUGUUUGAGUGUCAUGAAUACUUCAACCCUCCUCUUUCUUAAUGAUUGAAGAGGUGUUUGGUUUCUGAGCGCUGCUGGCCUUUACGGUCUAGCUCGUUCGUAAUGCAUUAGCAUCCGCAAUCGAACUUCGGAUUGACUUGGCGUAAUAGACUAUUCGCUGAGGAAUUCUAGUCUUCGGAUUAGAGCCGGGUUGGGUUAAAGGAAGCUUCUAAUCAGAAUGUCUACAUUUUAAGAUUAGAUCUCAAAUCAGGUAGGACUACCCGCUGAACUUAAGCAUAUCAAUAAG
RNAcentral lists this ribosomal RNA (597 nucleotides) under Rhodotorula mucilaginosa. RNAcentral describes it as "eukaryotic LSU rRNA". The stretch from base 172 to 325 matches the Rfam family "5.8S ribosomal RNA". The record is from RNAcentral. Lineage: Eukaryota; Fungi; Basidiomycota; Microbotryomycetes; Sporidiobolales; Sporidiobolaceae.